UGCAGUCGAACGGCAGCGCGGGGCAACCUGGCGGCGAGUGGCGAACGGGUGAGUAAUAUAUCGGAACGUACCCUGGAGUGGGGGAUAACGUAGCGAAAGUUACGCUAAUACCGCAUACGAUCUAAGGAUGAAAGUGGGGGAUCGCAAGACCUCAUGCUCCUGGAGCGGCCGAUAUCUGAUUAGCUAGUUGGUGGGGUAAAGGCCUACCAAGGCAUCGAUCAGUAGCUGGUCUGAGAGGACGACCAGCCACACUGGAACUGAGACACGGUCCAGACUCAUACGGGAGGCAGCAGUGGGGAAUUUUGGACAAUGGGCGAAAGCCUGAUCCAGCAAUGCCGCGUGAGUGAAGAAGGCCUUCGGGUUGUAAAGCUCUUUUGUCAGGGAAGAAACGGUGCUUUCUAAUACAGAGCGCUAAUGACGGUACCUGAAGAAUAAGCACCGGCUAACUACGUGCCAGCAGCCGCGGUAAUACGUAGGGUGCAAGCGUUAAUCGGAAUUACUGGGCGUAAAGCGUGCGCAGGCGGUUUUGUAAGUCUGUCGUGAAAUCCCCGGGCUCAACCUGGGAAUGGCGAUGGAGACUGCAAGGCUAGAGUUUGGCAGAGGGGGGUAGAAUUCCACGUGUAGCAGUGAAAUGCGUAGAUAUGUGGAGGAACACCGAUGGCGAAGGCAGCCCCCUGGGUCAAGACUGACGCUCAUGCACGAAAGCGUGGGGAGCAAACAGGAUUAGAUACCCUGGUAGUCCACGCCCUAAACGAUGUCUACUAGUUUGUCGGGUUUUAAAUUAACUUGGUAACGCAGCUAACGCGUGAAGUAGACCGCCCUGGGGAGUUACGGUCGCUAGAUUAAAACUCAAAGGAAUUGACGGGGACCCGCACAAGCGGUGGGAUGAUG
Molecule: ribosomal RNA, 891 nt
Filed under: Proteobacteria bacterium UA-JF1512
Lineage: Bacteria; Pseudomonadati; Pseudomonadota
Description: bacterial SSU rRNA
Rfam family: Bacterial small subunit ribosomal RNA
Source: RNAcentral